UGGGGAAUAUUGGACAAUGGGCGAAAGCCUGAUCCAGCAAUGCCGCGUGAGUGAUGAAGGCCUUAGGGUUGUAAAGCUCUUUUACCAGGGAUGAUAAUGACAGUACCUGGAGAAUAAGCUCCGGCUAACUCCGUGCCAGCAGCCGCGGUAAUACGGAGGGAGCUAGCGUUGUUCGGAAUUACUGGGCGUAAAGCGUGCGUAGGCGGUGACUCAAGUCAGAGGUGAAAGCCUGGAGCUCAACUCCAGAACUGCCUUUGAAACUAGGUCGCUAGAAUCUGGGAGAGGUGAGUGGAAUUCCGAGUGUAGAGGUGAAAUCCGUAGAUAUUCGGAAGAACACCAGUGGCGAAGGCGGCUCACUGGACCAGAAUUGACGCUGAGGCACGAAAGCGUGGGGAGCAAACAGGAUUAGAUACCCCCGUAGUCCCUGAGCGGGCUGGCAAGGCGCAU
RNAcentral lists this ribosomal RNA (447 nucleotides) under uncultured bacterium. Its description in RNAcentral is "bacterial SSU rRNA". It matches the Rfam family "Bacterial small subunit ribosomal RNA", at positions 355 to 825 of the family's 1533-position model. The record is from RNAcentral.